RNAcentral lists this ribosomal RNA (492 nucleotides) under uncultured bacterium. RNAcentral's name for it is "partial 16S ribosomal RNA". It matches the Rfam family "Bacterial small subunit ribosomal RNA", at positions 29 to 507 of the family's 1533-position model. The record is from RNAcentral.
AGUGAACGCUGGCGGUAGGCCUAACACAUGCAAGUCGAACGGCAGCACAGUAAGAGCUUGCUCUUACGGGUGGCGAGUGGCGGACGGGUGAGGAAUACAUCGGAAUCUACUUUUUCGUGGGGGAUAACGUAGGGAAACUUACGCUAAUACCGCAUACGACCUACGGGUGAAAGCAGGGGAUCUUCGGACCUUGCGCGAUUGAAUGAGCCGAUGUCGGAUUAGCUAGUUGGCGGGGUAAAGGCCCACCAAGGCGGCGAUCCGUAGCUGGUCUGAGAGGAUGAUCAGCCACACUGGAACUGAGACACGGUCCAGACUCCUACGGGAGGCAGCAGUGGGGAAUAUUGGACAAUGGGCGCAAGCCUGAUCCAGCCAUACCGCGUGGGUGAAGAAGGCCUUCGGGUUGUAAAGCCCUUUUGUUGGGAAAGAAAAGCAGCAGGCUAAUACCCCGCUGUUCUGACGGUACCCAAAGAAUAAGCACCGGCUAACUUCGUG